RNAcentral lists this long non-coding RNA (5943 nucleotides) under Xyrichtys novacula (pearly razorfish). The record is from RNAcentral. Lineage: Eukaryota; Metazoa; Chordata; Actinopteri; Labriformes; Labridae.
CAGAGGAGGAAAUCUACUUCUAGAUCCGCAGCGAAAUGGAAAGAAGCCGGUGGAAAUUGACAUAUUACGAUCAGCAGAUACAACCUUUUCAUAGCUGUUCCGGAUGCGGUGGAAAUUGCCUGUAAGGUGGAUGCUAAGGGCCUCAGGUGUUUUUUUUUUUUUUUAUGUGACUACAAAGCUGUGUACAAAGUAGCUCCCCAAGCUGUGUCUAACUUUCUAUUAGUGUGAAAUCAGCCAAAAUGAAGCAUUUCAGGCCUUGUCCAAAAAGUGCUGACAUUAGGGUUUUUACAGACGCUAAUACGGUUUUAAAACUACAAGUCAUGCUAAGAAACUCUAUAGAUGUCCAAGACUAAAAUAUUAAAAGGUAAACUUAAUUAUAAGUCUUCUUUAAUACUGUUGUCAUUUGUUGACAUGUUUGGACUCGCUCACAAUCAAUAACUCAAUCUAAAAGAGGAUUUUUUUGGUGGCAGUAGCUCAGGAGGUAGAGUGGUCAUCCAAUAACUGGAAGGUUGGCAGUUCGAUUCCACCCUAUCAUUUGUCUGUCUGUUGUGUUCGUGGGCAAGACACUUAUCCUACCUUGCUCCCAGUGUGUGUCCUCCACUGGUGUAUGCUUCGUAUGUACAUCACUUUGGAUAAAAGCGUCUGCUAAAUGACAUUGUAAUUGUAAUAAAACAUCACAAUAUCAAUGACUCUAUGAUUUGAUGCCACAUUAUGCCUGAUAAAAUUCUUAGAAAGCUCCUCUCUCUCUCUUCCUCACUGGUUGUAUUUCUGCACAUGUGAUAAGGUGAAAACACACCGAAACCAUCUUAUCUAAAUUCACAUCCAAGCACAAAGUGAGGCGGUAUGUGGAUGUUUUCUCAUUUGUAUUCAAGAGCCACUUUUCUUCUGAUGCACCUGUUCGCACUCAAAGUUGCAAUCAUCUCUACGAGCAGAAAUCUGCAAAUUCUGAGGAGAUUUGGGGGGGAUUUACAGCGUCUGUUUUCCUGUUUGCUGUGCGGCUAAUAUUGACUAAUAAUGUUUGAGCUGGCAUCUGAUUUUGCGCAGAAAAUAGUCCUUUUGGAAAAUGAAAAAAAAGUAUGAAAAAUGCCAAAAGAAAGCAGCCAAAAUUGUGAUCUGGAAGCUAUUAGUUAUCAUCCAUAAACUUCAGCUUUUCAUUCAGCUCUUUUUUGCAAAAUCAGUGUCUCUGCCAAUCCAGCUGCACGCACUCAUUUCUGGCGUGGACUGCAAACAAUCACACGGCAAGAUAAAGGUAGUCCUGGCCUGAAUACUAAUGAUCCAAUAUCCAGAUAUAAGCUGACUCCACUGGAAUCCUGUAAGUAUUGGCCGUCACUGCAAGAGGCCAAACGAUCAGACAAAAGCCGAUCAGUUCUGACAUUUUGUGUAGAGACACUAAAAAAAAUUAGUUUCUUCUUCUUCUCUCAGCAGUCUAAAAUCUUCCUUUAUUUACUAUUAAAAAUGAAAUUCCUUCUAAUAAUGAGAAAAAAUGUCCAGUUUUUAAUUUUAUUUUUGAGUUAGUAAAAGACUGAAAUAAAACCAACAGAGCAUCCAAACUAUAAUAAACUCCCAAAUGGAGAAGUAGAUUAAUCACGGUCAAGGACUUUCAAGAUGGUUGCCCUGUCCCUCCCCUCGAGUCCCCCUUUUAUUCCCUAUUUUGGGAGCAAUAAUCUGCAGAAAGAAGAGAGUUGGAGACCCUGAAUUAUGGCGGACCAGAACAAAUUUGAGGUCAAACAUGGAGUGGGAAAAAAAAGGGACAGAAGAUCUGUCCCUCAGCCCCCUCUUAGCCUGACCAGCAUGUGGCACAUUAGCAUGGGCCAAACAGACGUGUGUGUGCGCUAAUGUGUUUGUGUGUGUGUCAGGGGUUUGAAGGGUUACAGAUAAUGAGCUUGUACACAAGCAGCAAUUAGCAUUGUAGCAAAGAAAAGAAGAAGCGUGGCAUCGGUUCAGGCAGGCCACGAGGUCAAGCUCCACCUACUGAGUAGCAGAUGAUCCUGACUAUCACAUUUCUGCUUGUUCUAUUUAAACCGUUUCAGCCCACCUGCUUCCUCCAAAAACCUGCCUCCAUCCCGGCUCCUCAUUUGCCAGUGUCACAUUGAUUGUCACCAACGCUGUUCUAUCUUUGCUGAUGCUCCCCCUGCUUUCACUACUCACAUGAAACAUAGAGAUAGUGUACUUUCUUUGCCUUACCCCCAAUUUCCCCCGCAUCCAGUACGGAUAUGAAAUGGCUGUAUCGGCCAACCGCGGCUGAUGGUAACCUUUCAAGUUAAUGUGUCAAUUUCCAUCAGCUUCUUUCCAUUCCACUGUGGAUCGCCGGACUCCACAGCUGAUCGCAACAGUUCUAUUUUUUGCAGACGCCAGAGCAUGAAUGAUAAAUUCAGCACAGAUGAGCCCGUGCUGAAAGUGGAUUUCUUCCUCUAGAAGGACACAAUCUACUGCUUAUAUGGUUAUGUAUAAUAUAUGGUUAUCUUAUUAAAGACAACCCGUUAUUGCGCGAUUCGCGGGUUCUUGUGAGUUCUCGCGAUUUCCUCUGUCCGUAAUCCGCCACAAAAUUCACCUCAUAAAUAGAUCUGGUAGGAAUUGGCGGACGGCAAAAAUCGCUGCUGUUCCGGAUACGGUGGAAAUUGGGCGUUAGGCUUUGGCAUGCCAUACACACACAGAAUAGCAGGAAGCUCUCGAAACAGAGCGUUGGAGUCUUUGCUGCUGCUCUCCCUGCCAUGGCUUUUCAUAUAUGCUCAUGAACCGGAGUUGUGCGCUCCCUGCCUUAGGCUAUGGCAUUCCACAUACGAAUGCAAUAACCAUUGCUUGCUUGACCUGCAUGUGAAUGCCUUUAGUGUGGUCACUGUAGGUUCAGAGGAUCUAAAGGUAUUAGUCAUUAACAGACAACCUGCUUUACCCCAGAGUCCAGCCAUCAUGUCCCAAAGCAGAAGCGGACAGAAAUAAACAGGAUUCAUUUAGAUGAUAUGAGGUAUUUCCAGCUUAAGCUGUCAGAUGUGAAUUGCCUAAAGUUUUUCCAUUAAGUCUCCUUGUGGAAAACAAAUAGUCAUUACUGAAUAUAAAACCACUCUGUGUCACUUUUCUGAUAGAGUGACUUAUUGUUUAAGUCCAGGGGUUUAAUACGUCCAAAACAAAACACAAAGCUGCCAUUCAUUUUCCUCUCUUUGUGUCCCGUGUCCCCAAAGGGAAACCUUGUUCUCUCUUCCCUGUGAACAUUAUUUAUUUCCCAUUAUUGUGUGAGAUGGCUGUUUGUUCGCCAAGUCUAAGUCAGGUGUCCUUGGAGACAGGAGCACAAAGGAUCCCCCUGGGUGGCUGCAAGUUAAUUCAUUGCUCUAUAGCUUCCUCCCACCACAGCCCAUCAAGCCUCCACAUAGCUCACACAGGUCUCAGGGAAAUUACACAGAGGAGCAGAAUUGCACCGGCAGUGCUUACUGAGAAAACCCAGUGGGACGCUUUAAAUUGGAUGGAAAAGAUUGGCUCAGCUAAAUACACUGCUCUGUCUCUUUUUGUCACAGCGGUCAGGUUGGUAUGGCAACAACACAAGGUGAAGCACACUCCCUAAUCAAGUGUUAUCUCUCACAGAACCAAAACAAGCUGUUAGUGAGAUUAAACUUAGCUUUGCAUGCUUAAUGUCUUCUUCCACUUGUCUUUCACAACUCUCUUUUAGCUGGAACUGAGACCUGUUGCAGCAACAACAACAAAAAAAAGUUUCAAAAAAGUUCAAAACAGGUGAAACAGUUGUGCAAUAGUUAAGAACUUCUGAAGGAACAUCUCCCUGAGGUUUAUUUGUAACAGGUUAGCAACAUGACUGGGUUUCUCAGAGGAAAAGAAGAAAGUUCAGCAAUCCUGAAUAAUGUUCCUGAAUAUAAAAGGUCAAAGAGUUUGCAUCAUGACACAAAAUCACAACAAAGGAGACCCUAAACUGUUGAGCAGACCCCAGAAAUUCUAGCCUGGCUGGGCCAUCCAGUUGUGUGAAUCACUUGCCAUUCCUUCCCACAACAGUCUGGACUUCGGCCAAUUGGGAGCAAGUAUUAGAAAUCAGAAAAUAAUCGGGCCAAUCAGAGACUGUGUUUCCACUGUUCUCCGGACAACAGGGAAAGGCAGCCCCUGAUUGGUCCAUGUGUAGAUGGAGAUGUCUAACACAUGCUGCGGGACUUUUCAAAGCGCUGUUCAUUCAGAGCGCUGUUCAUUCAGAACGCCGUUAAUUCUGCAGUUGACUUUGCAAAGUCGGCAGAAAUCAUUUAUAUCCGCAGAAGAAGACGUAAAAGACAUUGUUUGCUCGCACACGUUGAAAUAUUAUCAAACCUUUACUUGAUGCUUGAGAGCCCAGCAGGGAACACAGUUGCGCACUGUGAUGACGUCAGAUGCUUGGUUACGGUGAUUGGUUACAGUAGUCUGUCUAUCAAGGAAAGUACUCCCGCCCACUUUUAGGGCUCCCAAAAGUCCAGACUGUUGUGGGAAGGAACGGCAAGUGAUUCACACAACUGGUUGGCCCAGCCAGGCUACAGAAACUGGUCUCCUCGGUUCACAAACAUUUACAGAGCUAAUGACACGCUAAAGAAAACAUGAUCCUGUUAUAAGUGUUAUAAAAAUGUUGCUGGUAUCAAACUCAAAAGGAAUAUUGUAAAACCCGUGCAACAAAAUAUGUUGUCUUUGCUUUUUUUUAUCAAUUAUAAAUGCUGUAAAUGCUGUGCAAACCUUCGAAAUCUCUUUUAUCAUCAUUUUACACAGUGUCACAACUUGAGUGGUCGUGAAUGAAGCAAUUAUAGCAUUAAAUGUUACACAUGAUGAGGCAAUUAAGACGUGUCAGACAGUCUUUAGCACUUUGACUCUGCAGAGAGAUGUGCUAAUGGUAUUGUUUUCACCCCGAGGUAGAGGUGGUGGGCGAUGGUGUCAUCUAGAGCUGAGGGAACAUUAUAAAAGCAUGAAUGAAAUGUAAAAAGAGGAAAAAUCAAAACAAAAAAAAUAGAUGUAAUGAAGCCAAACAGCAGAAUGCAACAAGAAAUAAACAGGCCGUGCGUGCAAAAUUUAGACUUCCUGACUGGACUUUCUGCAAGAGGUCAGACCUCUGUCUUUUAAACAAGAUAUCUGUCAUCAAAUCUCAAACAAGAUGUGAAUUCUCAAAAAUGAGGAGAACAUUUAUUAAGCCACAUCAAAAUAAGACAAAAAAUGUCAAAUCAGUUAUAUACUUUGCAAAAAUAUCCCCUGCAGAGGAAGAAAAAAUGAAACAUUAGUCCAACAAAAGUCCAACAAACUGGCUCUCUUCACAGCCUCACAUCUCAUAUGCCACACAUCUGCUGAUUUCACUCAGCUCAUAUGCUCUGCUACCUGCAGCUUUAAUCACAGCCUCACAGAAUUCAGGUUUGGCCACUCUCACCUGCAGACAAUCCAAGUGAGAGAAGCUGCAACAAUAACAAAAGGGAAAACAGAAUUCCCCAAAGGGAAAAAAAAGACUACAUAUUUAGAGUGAAAUGUAAACAUCAUAUGCAUUUAAUAUAUACUUCAAACCAACAUUGCUUAGGUGCUCGAGGAAUGUGCACCUUCCUUUAGUCUUAACAAUAGUUGGUGAGUGAGGACUCUACGGCCUCACAACAAUAUCAUUGGAAGGAAAAGAGUAAAUUUUGUCUGAUAUCAAACAAAACACCAAUAUUUUAGGGUAGAAUCAUGAAGUGAUGACAUGUUUCAUCUGAAAUGACAACAACAGUUCCCUCAAAAAAAGUCCUUUCUGCUCAUUUCUCCCAUCUCAGUCUCGUAAACACAAUAACACAACAAUACCUGCAGGGAAUACCCACAAAUUUGACAUAAUGUCCUUCCGAAUCCAAAGAUAAAGUCAUUCAAUUUAGGUGUUAAAGUUUAGGUGAUCCGUGUCCAUCCUAUCUUCAUUCUCGCUUCUCGCUUCAGUAAUGCCUGGAAGCAACAUUUCAUAUUUACUGGAUUUUAGGACAAUCCUGC